Molecule: non-coding RNA, 177 nt
Filed under: Oxalobacter sp. OttesenSCG-928-P03
Lineage: Bacteria; Pseudomonadati; Pseudomonadota; Betaproteobacteria; Burkholderiales; Oxalobacteraceae
Description: 6S RNA
Rfam family: 6S / SsrS RNA
About the family: E. coli 6S RNA was the first non coding RNA to be sequenced, but its function was unknown until recently.
Source: RNAcentral
ACUACCCUGCGGUGUUUGCGAUUGUCAUUAAUUCUUUGAACCAUUCACCAGCAUCGGUUACGGAACUUGCACGAUGGGCGUGCGCGUCGCUUGUUCGAUGAACCCGAAAUCGGCUUACCGUGACCACCUUGAACCUCAGGUUCAAGAUGCCGACAUAGCGGCACCGGCGGGGGACAG